UACAGAGGUGGCAAGCGUUGUUCGGAAUUACUGGGCGUAAAGGGCGAGUAGGUGGCCAUCUAAGUCAGACGUGAAAUCCCCCGGCUUAACCUGGGAACUGCGUCUGAUACUGGACGGCUAGAGUUUGGGAGAGGGAUGCAGAAUUCCAGGUGUAGCGGUGAAAUGCGUAGAUAUCUGGAGGAAUACCGGUGGCGAAGGCGGCAUCCUGGACUGCAACUGACACUGAUGAACGAAAGCCAGGGGAGCAAACGGG
RNAcentral lists this ribosomal RNA (253 nucleotides) under uncultured bacterium. Its description in RNAcentral is "partial 16S ribosomal RNA". It matches the Rfam family "Bacterial small subunit ribosomal RNA", at positions 524 to 776 of the family's 1533-position model. The record is from RNAcentral.